Oryctolagus cuniculus (rabbit) is the source of this 1233-nucleotide long non-coding RNA. NCBI's taxonomy places the organism in Eukaryota, Metazoa, Chordata, Mammalia, Lagomorpha, Leporidae. The record is from Ensembl.
GCCAGCAUCCGUCUCAUGAUUGAAAUGUUUGUGGAAUGAAUGUACAAAUGAACAAAGCAGCUGAAGUCCUCGGCUCAGUCCAGGGCGCUGUACAGAAGUGCACGUGCUUCCCGGAUUCCUUCCCUGAUCUCAGUCCUGUAGUCUACCUUAGGUGCCUGCGAUCAUUAGGUGGGAGAGUCCCCAGUACCCGGCAGCGCCUGUAAGCACCCGCUUAUCCCCAGUAGACAGGCGAUGAAUGGGGAGUAAAUUUUCAGGAGGCCCCAGAGGCUCAGGCCGUUUCAGUCUUUUGAUUUUUUUUUUCCCUCUGUUAUUACAAGUCCCCUCUGGCCUGAAACCUGACUCGGGACUUCUCAGGCCUGGAUCCAGCUCCCAUCUGCAUCUUCGCCUAGAAAAGCAUCCCUGUCAGUCUCCUCCCCUUUGGCUUGCGUUCUGCACCUGAUCUGCACCCGAUUUAGAUUGGGAGACUUCCCUCUGCGGCCGCACCUCAGCCCUGCUACAGCGAAUGGGACGUCCACAGAGCCCCAGCGGGACUGCGAGUGUGCCGCAAAACCGUGCACCCACUCUUCAUCCAGCCCCUACAGCGCCAGGCCUUGUGCACCAUCCAUAUUGGUAGUUACCGCACGCACUCCCUCUUGGAACUUCCGAAUAUUCAUGAGGGAGGCAGAAAGGCCAGUAUGAAAGAGGGGGAGAAACCGUCAUUCAUAAAUAUUAAUCAUGGCAGGUCCAUGUGCUCCAAGGAAGGCUGUGAAUGCUAACGAGCGGGUGACGUUGAACCCUGCGCGUGCCCGUCGGGCGGGUGCACGAGAGCGGGCGCGCCCCCCGAGGCCCUGGCACGAGCGCGGGGAGGGGGCGGGGUGGAGGAGGGAGCGGAGCCCGGCGCCGCCGGAGCUGCAGGGGGAGCGCUCUCUGGCUGCCUCACCCGCUCGCGGCUGCCCGUGCGCUGCGCUCCAGCCGCUCGCCGCUGCCGGUGGAUGGGGGUGUCCAGCUGAGUCCCGGGAUCCGCCUCCCUCAGCCAGGACCCGCACAGGGCUCAGCCGGGAUACAGCGCCGGGCAGGGCCGGGGAGAAGAUGAUGGACACUUCAAGCGUGGUCUCAGCGCGUGGGCCUCCGGCAGGCCGGGCGUGUGCGCGUGCGUGUGUCGCCUUGUGCAUGUGGCUGUGCAUAUAUGUACAUGUGUGUGCAAGCGCGUGGCCUUGUGUGCAUGCACGUGUGUGCACCUGUGUGUGUGUGUAG